RNAcentral lists this ribosomal RNA (705 nucleotides) under Triticum aestivum (bread wheat). Its description in RNAcentral is "partial small subunit ribosomal RNA". The record is from RNAcentral. Lineage: Eukaryota; Viridiplantae; Streptophyta; Magnoliopsida; Poales; Poaceae.
AUGGGGCUGGGCGUGAGGGCGGCGCCGUUCACGUACGUGGCGCACGCGCUGGCCGUGGUGGCCGCCGCCAUGGUGCUGUACUGGUGCAUCCACUUCCGCGGCGGCCUCGCCUUCGAAGCCGACAACAAGAACCUCAUCUUCAACGUUCAUCCUGUUCUUAUGUUGAUUGGCUUUAUUAUUCUUGGCAGUGAAGCUAUAAUGAUAUACAAGGUACUACCUACGGUGAACCAUGAUACAACUAAGUUGAUCCAUCUAGUGCUCCAUGCUAUUGCGCUUGUGCUCGGUGCGGUCGGGAUAUACUGUGCUUUUAAGAAUCACAAUGAAACUGGAAUUGCGAACCUUUACAGUCUGCAUUCUUGGCUUGGAAUAGGAACAAUUUCUCUAUAUGGUAUUCAGUGGAUAUUUGGAUUCUUGGCCUUCUUCUUCCCCAAGGCUGCGCCAAAUGUGAGGAAGGGUGCUCUUCCUUGGCACGUACUACUUGGGAUCUUCGUUUACAUUUUAGCCCUGGCAACGGCAGAACUUGGGUUUCUGGAGAAGCUCACCUUCCUCCAAAGCUCGGGCAUCGACAAAUAUGGACCAGAGUCAUUUCUGGUGAACUUCACGGCAUUGGUUGUUGUGCUAUUUGGUGCCUCAGUUGUUGUAGCUGCUGUUGCCCCAGCUCGCCUUGAAGAGCCACAGGAUUAUGCUCCAAUCCCAGAAAACUAG